CGCAAAGAAAGGAAGACUCAUGGCUGGGAGUGUCGUUUUAGGCUCUGUGACCCAGAAGCAAGACGCAAUAAACGGGUGCAGUGGAGGUAGAAACGGGAAAUGCAGUACCCUUCCCGGAAGCGACUCCCCUCGGAACCUGUGGUGAUAAGGAAGAUGUGAGCCUGGAGAUACAGAAGCUAGCACAUGAAUGCUAAAAAUGAAGCUGACGCAGCAAAAGGCAGUGCCAAGGAACUAAAAGAAAACACAUUUUGAUUACGUUUUUGGAGUGCCUGGGUCAAGCAGUUCAUGACACUGAGGCUUUUCUGCUACCUUAAUAAAUACUUUUUCCUUCCCACUAAGGUGAGUUUGUUCUGGCCUCUCUAUCACUCACAACAACUGGUUACUAACUGAAGCAACCUUUCUUACCUCUUACACUCAUUACACCCAUAAAACAGAAACAACAUUUAAACUUGGAUCUCAACACAACUACCAAAGCAGAAAAGUUCAAAUCAACAAGUCAUUCAUGGAUAAUGUUUGACUGAAACUGCAUUUCUCCUCCAACCUGAGUGUGGUGUUGGCGAAAUGUUGCGUGUUGAUUCUGCAUGCCUUUGUGUUCUACACGUAGGGUGUGUGCUGUGUAAUGAAUCGUUUCUUUAUCAUUUUUCUCAGCUUGAAUGGUUGCAUCACCUCCAUUCACAGAGCUCACUGUGAUGGCAUUCAACCUUGUCUCGGUACAAGUGUGUCAUUUACAUAAUAGUUGCCUCUGUACUUUCCUUGGUAACUUAAACAAAGAAGACCAUCACUCACUGUGCUUGCCUUUCAAAUUAUAUUUGAUAUCUAAUUAAAGUCUCAUUUUAUUAAAUUUCUGAAGCCAAA
Sapajus apella (tufted capuchin) is the source of this 855-nucleotide long non-coding RNA. RefSeq lists it as uncharacterized. NCBI's taxonomy places the organism in Eukaryota, Metazoa, Chordata, Mammalia, Primates, Cebidae. The record is from RefSeq and is a predicted model, not a curated record. The transcript is spliced from 2 exons.